RNAcentral lists this ribosomal RNA (438 nucleotides) under uncultured bacterium. Its description in RNAcentral is "partial 16S ribosomal RNA". It matches the Rfam family "Bacterial small subunit ribosomal RNA", at positions 28 to 507 of the family's 1533-position model. The record is from RNAcentral.
AACGAACGCUGGCGGCAUGCCUAACACAUGCAAGUCGAACGAGACCGCCGGGUCUAGGGGCGCACGGGUGCGUAAGGCGGGGGAACCUGCACUUGGGUUAGGAAUAACUCCCCGAAAGGGGUGCUAAUACCGGAUAAUGUCUUCGGACCAAAGAUUUGGCGCCUGGGGGUGGGCCCGGGUUAGAUUAGCUAGUUGGUGGGGGAGAAGCCUACCAAGGCGACGAUGGGUAGCUGGUCGGAGAGGAAGAUCGGGGACACUGGGAGUGGGACACGGCCCAGACGGCUGCGGGGGGCAGGAGUGGGGAAUAUGGCAGAAUGGGCGGAAGCCUGAUGCAGCAACGCCGCGUGCGGGAUGACGGCCGUCGGGUUGGAAACCGCUUUCGCCUGUGACGAAGCGUGAGUGACGGUAAUGGGUAAAGAAGCACCGGCUAACUACGUG